Molecule: ribosomal RNA, 453 nt
Filed under: Entrophospora infrequens
Lineage: Eukaryota; Fungi; Glomeromycota; Glomeromycetes; Entrophosporales; Entrophosporaceae
Description: LSU rRNA
Rfam family: Eukaryotic large subunit ribosomal RNA
Source: RNAcentral
GGAAAGAUGAAAAGAACUUUGAAAAGAGAGUUAAACAGUACGUGAAAUUGUUGAAAGGGAAACGAUUGAAGUCAGUCGUGCUGGCGCGAAAUCAACCCUCUCGUCGAGAGGACACAUGGCGUGGCGAGCCUCAAAACCGUCACGAAGCGUGAACUCCUGGCGAAAAGGAGCACUUUCGUGUCCGCUGGUUAACAUCAAUUUCGAACGUCAUAAAAAGGCUGGAGGGAUGUGGCUCCUUCGGGAGUGUUAUAACCUUUAGCGGAAUGUGGUGGUCGGGAUUGAGGAUUGCAACGAAUACCUUUAGGGCUGUUCCACCUGGCUUCUCUUUGGUAUCCUGGUGACGACAGCUUGCUGACGUUGUUAGGAUUCGCCUUUGAACAGGCUAGAGUGUGAGCAAAUUCGUUAAGGAUGUUAACGUAAUGGCUUUAAACGACCGUCUUGAAACACGGACCA